GAUGAACGCUGGCGGCGUGCUUAACACAUGCAAGUCGAACGAAGCACUUUAUUUGAUUUCCUUCGGGACUGAUUAUUUUGUGACUGAGUGGCGGACGGGUGAGUAACGCGUGGGUAACCUGCCUUGUACAGGGGGAUAACAGUUGGAAACGGCUGCUAAUACCGCAUAAGCGCCCAGCAUCGCAUGAUGCAGUGUGAAAAACUCCGGUGGUAUAAGAUGGACCCGCGUUGGAUUAGCUAGUUGGCGAGGUAACGGCCCACCAAGGCGACGAUCCAUAGCCGACCUGAGAGGGUGACCGGCCACAUUGGGACUGAGACACGGCCCAAACUCCUACGGGAGGCAGCAGUGGGGAAUAUUGCACAAUGGGCGAAAGCCUGAUGCAGCGACGCCGCGUGAGCGAAGAAGUAUUUCGGUAUGUAAAGCUCUAUCAGCAGGGAAGAUAAUGACGGUACCUGACUAAGAAGCACCGGCUAAAUACGUG
Molecule: ribosomal RNA, 481 nt
Filed under: uncultured bacterium
Lineage: Bacteria
Description: partial 16S ribosomal RNA
Rfam family: Bacterial small subunit ribosomal RNA
Source: RNAcentral